RNAcentral lists this long non-coding RNA (2431 nucleotides) under Homo sapiens (human). RNAcentral's name for it is "long non-coding RNA NONHSAT117925.2". The record is from RNAcentral. Lineage: Eukaryota; Metazoa; Chordata; Mammalia; Primates; Hominidae.
AAUUGCGAACCGUGUCUCGGGAGCGUUAGAGAUGGAGACUAACGUCUUUCAAGGGAGAUUGCGUCUCCACUUUCACCCUGGUACUGAGAGAUUGAGCACAAAAUUGGAACGCAGUCGCGGGGUAUAUCCCCCUGAAAACCGUACGUUGCCAAAUAAUGAUUUCUUUGGAUUAGAGAACUACAACUCCCCUGGGUCCUGAGCCGGUAUUUCCCUUUUGCGGCUGCACCGUAGUUAAAAACAAAGCUAAGUGUUCUGGGACGUAUAGUUCUAGCGUUCCUUGGGUCCCGCUGGCGAGCGUGGGCUUUCUGCAGCUCGCAACCGGCCUCGUGCUUUGCGGACGGUUCACUGCGCUUGGAAAGGGAUUGGCCUGGGGUACAUCAUCUAAAGAUCCUAGGAUUGCUGCAGGUCAGCAGUCUCCACUGGAAAAAAAGAUCUUGCAUGUAUUUCAAGUCCUCUGAUGAAUCAUGUGAUCUACUAGACCCUGAAGAUACAGUGAAGAGCAAAAGAACACGGAUGAAAUGAGAAACAAAAACGAUGGAGAAAACCAAAAAAGGGGACACAUGGGAUCCAGGCAAUAGGAGAGCCAGCAUAAGAGAGAGGCAGAGGGAUGCCCAGGAUGAGGUGAAGACGAUCUUGGAAAUCAGCCCAGAUGUGCAUGCACCAGUCCACGUGUGGCAGGACCAAGGGAAGUGUCUUCACAAAGAUGAGGGGUACACUCCUUUGGAAACCAGAACCUCGUAUCCUGCACAGCCCAGUGUUGGGAGAUAAAAUAUGCGAAAUACCCCAUUGAGUGAAUCUAAGAGAUUGGACAUGGAGCCAAACCUGCUUCCGCCUUUUGAUUUCUGGACACACAUGUUCUUCCUAUUGAGAACACAGAACUCUAGAGACGUCUCUGAUUCAAACAAUGCACUGUGUCCUGAAAGAUGGCACCCACCCCUCAGAGUGCUUCCUCCAGGCUGGCACUGAGUUGUGCCUGUAGAAGACCUGUCCAGCCUUCCUUGUGGCUGGCAGCUCCUGGGUAGUGCAGAUGGUGAUAGGAUUAGUGGAACCCACAGCCGUGGAAACACUGAAACUUUCCCUGCAAAGUGGGUCCUUCAGGCAGAUAAUGGGCUAGGAGCACUGCCUAGCCUGCAGACCAGGAAUGUCAACAGCACCCAGAGAGUGGUGCUGGCUGUGUCUGAGAGCAGGACAGGAAAACCCACCCAUAGAAUCGGUACCUAACCCUGUGAAGAUGAAACUCUGGCACUUCCAGGUUGGAAGUAGCUAAAUGUAGUCAACUUGUUACUUAAUGGGUAGUCAUGUAAAGAAAUAGUGCCCCACUAGGGCACAUCAUGGGCCUCAAUUGCUGAUGAGUUGGACAUUCAGAGGUGGCAGCAGCUGGAUCUGCCUUGGUGUGGGGGAGUCAGUGCUGCUGGCCCCUUACGGAGCCUCAUGCCUGCCACUGUGGUUGCUCCAUUCAUGCACUCAUCCUACCAGGCCUGGGCUGACCCAUGGUGAAAGCUGGCUAACUGCCAUUUGUCUGUUUGGUAGUUCAGUGCCACUUCAGACUUGGGUGUUUUCUGUGGGUGUCAACAAGGGAUUCAAGCUCAACCCAGGUGGACUGUUUUCACCUGAUCAUGAAAGCUGUUGGGCCUGUACCAUCUAUGACUUUGUGGGUCACACAGGCACUUGGAACCCCGUAGUUGCUUGGUAUCCCGUGGUCAAGCAUUCUAUUGAAUCAGGACAAGGAACACUAAAAGUUGCUUCUAACAGGGGGCAUGUGUCUCUGCUGUGGAUGACAUGAUCUUACUCCAGAAUCCCAGGCCCUCCACUGUGACUCUCCCACUGGUGCUUGGUUCAGCUCCAUCCUGUGUCUUUCCCCACCACUGGCACCACCAGCCCCAGGGGGUCUGAGGGAUGGUGGCUGCUUGUACCAUGGCCUGGAUCUGCUGCAGGGUCCUUUCCUGUGUAGGCCCCACUUGAAGCUGGCAUCCUCCUAUGUCACCUAGACUGUGGACCAAAGCAAAAUGUCUACAUGUGAAAUGUGGUGUUGUUAUAAUUCAAAGAGGCUCACCAAGCAGUGUGCUUCCUUGCUUCUGGUGAGGAUGCAAGAUGCAACAGUUUUUCUUUUACCUUGGAGGGGACACACCUGCAUUCCCCUAAACACUUGGCACUUGUUCACCCAUAAAACUUCACUUCGGUGCCCACCUUUGAAGCUGUAUAAGGUUUAUCUUCACCUUGUGGGGUGCGUGCGUUUUGCAAAGGACUACAGUGCACUUUCUUCCUGCUGCUCAUCUACUCCAGUCAACAUGAAGUUGUCAAUGAAAUGUGCUGAUUUAAUAUCCUAAAGGAUAUGCAGUAUGUCCAGUACAGUCUUAAGCCUAUACUAUAGAGGGCACAGGUGUUACAAUAGCCCUGAGGCAAACAAUAAAUAAAUGUGUCGUUGAUUCCA